Molecule: long non-coding RNA, 2288 nt
Filed under: Equus asinus (donkey)
Lineage: Eukaryota; Metazoa; Chordata; Mammalia; Perissodactyla; Equidae
Description: lncRNA (ENSEASG00005031300.1)
Source: RNAcentral
UGUUAAGGCCUCUGGAAUAGAAUAUUUUUUUUGCCUCAUUUAUAGAAAUUGAGACCUAGCAUAUUUGAGCAUAAGUUGAUUUGAAAAAAUAAUUGAGCUGUCCGAGUAGUCUCAGGUUUCCCUGGAGACUUUGGUGCCUUCACCCAGAUAGCUACUUAGGGAGCUGAAGCUUGCUGCCAGGGUGACUUUUCCUGACUCGUGUCUUGAGUUCAGUGAGAAAGCGUUGUGAAGCAGAGAGAGAUUCUCCUCUUCUUCUGUUUAGUAAACUCCUUGUAAAAUACACUUUCCUUCUCAAGACCAGUUUUUUCCACAGUGUUUGAAUUUGGGGUGAGUAAAAUCAAACUCAGUUUAUUACUUUCUGUCUGGUAGUUGGAGAACUGAGCUGUAGGCCGUUGCGAUGACAGUGGGUCCCGCAGCAUGAGAGCUGUGCUCAGACAGUGAAGGACGGUGCCUCUGGUGUGCUGUGUGUCCUGGCCCUGCCCCAGGUGCUUCAGAGCCUCCGUGUGCCCCGAGAUUGCUUGACUCCAUAAACCUUUUUUAGGAGCUGCUCUUGUCUCCCUCUUGGCCACUUAGUCUGCUGUCUCAGUCACUACCUGAAGCCCCCAUUUAAUUUUUCUCUGGCAGUUACAGCUCUUGCAAUUUCAGCAUAAUCUCUUCUCUCAGACCAAUCUCAUCAAGAAAGAUUGAAGGCAUAACUAUGGAGUGAGCUGGACAUUGGAGCCACAUCUGCUGCCAAGUCAGCGUCUUGCUCGGCAAAUAUCAAGCUGUAAAUUGGCCCUGGGGCUCAGUGUCUCAUCAGCAUUGGAAAUCUAUGGCCUCUAAUCAGUCUGACCAAGUUGUGUAGAGCAUGACUUCCAUUAAUGGGAAUCUAAGAGCCAGCUGGCCUAAAACAUUUCCCUGUCACUUUCCCACUCAGCUGGCUUUCACUAGAUCAGUGGAACCAAUGACUAAAACUAAGGAAAAUUUAGCAACUUUGAUAUCCUCUGAUAAGAAAUUCCUAUCAAUAACCACUUCAUCCCACCCAAACUAGUUUAUUUCUCCCCCCAAAUUUGUGACUUGUAUGUUGAUUACAAAGGGGAUUUUGCUGAUAAUAGACUUUGAGUCCCCAUGUUCCAUUUUUUGCUGAUACAUCCCAUUCUAGGGCCUAGCCCUGUCUUCCUUGACUGUGUUCCCUUCAACCCAGUCCUCGCUUGGCAUAUACAAUAAAGAUUUGAUGAAUGAAAGGACCCAAGUAGGCCAGAUAGUCCCCCAGGCCCUGGUAGCCAUAAAAGGCUUGGGAAUGGAUUAUACAAUUGCUUCAGUCUUUUUGUUGUUCCGGAAAAAAAUAUGGGCUCAGAUGGAUGCCUGCGUAAAAAUGGUUCCUAGCUGUGUACUCAUAACUUUUCUCUGAAUUGAGUAGUGAAAACUGAAGUAGGAGGAAAGGAAAUUAAAUGUUCUUCUAGUAUUCCUUUGGACUCAGGUCUGACAUAUGAGAUAAUAACCUAUAUUGAAAUGCCAAGAAUUUUAUCUGAACCAAGGAGAGGACACUUUGACAGACUUAUUAUGCCUUCAUUUUACACCGGCACUGAAACCAAGUAAUAAACAUAUAAAAUAGCCAUUGCCCAAGGCAAACGAACCUAAACCUUGGUUUAUGUUUGAUGCAACAGAAAUUGAUUGUUAUAUUUUUAGGGAAACCUAUGCAAUUGUGGUCCAGUGGUAUCUGUUGAUCACUUAGCUUAUUGAUUCAGUUUCUGUUGAGUUGGAUUCUAGACGGUUACUACCUUGGAAAGGAUGUUUGGUGCCUUAUGUGAUGGGGGCCAGAGCCUGCUGGGAACAAACAAAGCAGAUUCAUGCCAGCAUCAGUGCACAGCUUUGGUGGGGAUGGGAGUGGCACACAGCCCCCAUCCAUGUGUGUCGUCUUCCUCUUCACGCUCUUGACAAUAACUUGAAAAUGGUAAGAUCACCUUCUCUGAACUUUCCUACAGCAUGGCAGUAUUCUUAUGUCAACAGAGUGGAUAGCUCAUAAUGUGAGUUAUUAGAACUGUGACAGCCUGCAUUGCCUCACUUUCCCAUGUUUCUGGAAUUGGUGGUGAAAUAACAGGGGUAAGGAAUCACUGGGUAAGUUUUACCCUGUGGGUAAUGCCUUAGUGUUAUUUAAAAGAUUUGUCAUUUAUAUUUAAAAUAAAUGUUCAUGAACAUUUGAAAGGAACAAAAUGAUCAGGGAUGGCUCUUUGCCAUGGGUCUCAUUUUCACUCUUUUCUGUAAGAAAAAAUAAUGAUAUCUUAUUAUAUAUUUUUUCAUUUUUAUUG